UACGGAGGGUGCAAGCGUUAUCCGGAUUCACUGGGUUUAAAGGGUGCGUAGGUGGAAUGGUAAGUCCGUGGUGAAAUCCCCGAGCUUAACUCGGGAACUGCCGUGGAUACUAUCAAUCUUGAAUACUGUGGAGGUAAGCGGAAUAUGUCAUGUAGCGGUGAAAUGCUUAGAUAUGACAUAGAACACCGAUAGCGAAGGCAGCUUGCUACACAGUCAUUGACACUGAGGCACGAAAGCGUGGGGAGCAAACAGG
This 253-nucleotide ribosomal RNA is filed under the name uncultured bacterium. RNAcentral describes it as "partial 16S ribosomal RNA". It matches the Rfam family "Bacterial small subunit ribosomal RNA", at positions 524 to 776 of the family's 1533-position model. The record is from RNAcentral.